This 75-nucleotide transfer RNA is filed under the name Burkholderiales bacterium. RNAcentral's name for it is "tRNA-Val". It matches the Rfam family "tRNA". Rfam says of the family: Transfer RNA (tRNA) molecules are approximately 80 nucleotides in length. Lineage: Bacteria; Pseudomonadati; Pseudomonadota; Betaproteobacteria; Burkholderiales. The record is from RNAcentral.
GGGUGGCUAGCUCAGCGGUAGAGCACUGCCUUCACACGGCAGGGGUCACUGGUUCGAACCCAGUGCCGCCCACCA